AUGAGAGGUAGCUCAAGUUCGGAUGGUAGCCUACAGACAGAAAGUCGCCCGCUAUUACAAUUCCCGGGUCAAGAAUAAAGUCUUUAGAGCAGGAGAUCUAGUACUUCGACGAGCCACUAUCUCGCAACCUCAGGAUCGAGGGAAGCUCGCCCCAAAUUGGGAAGGCCCGUAUGAAGUCAAAGAAGUAGUCCGGUCCGAAACUUAUUACCUC
RNAcentral lists this long non-coding RNA (211 nucleotides) under Elaeis guineensis (African oil palm). RNAcentral's name for it is "long non-coding RNA (EGUI_LNC068486)". Lineage: Eukaryota; Viridiplantae; Streptophyta; Magnoliopsida; Arecales; Arecaceae. The record is from RNAcentral.